Molecule: transfer RNA, 73 nt
Filed under: Ixodes scapularis (black-legged tick)
Lineage: Eukaryota; Metazoa; Arthropoda; Arachnida; Ixodida; Ixodidae
Description: tRNA-Phe
Source: RNAcentral
UCCUGGUGAGCUCAGUUGGAUGAGCGCUCCUUUGAAAGUGGAGAGGUCCCUGGUUCAAUACCGGGACUAGGCC